UACGGAAGGCAGCAGUAGGGAAUCUUCCGCAAUGGACGAAAGUCUGACGGAGCAACGCCGCGUGAACGAUGAAGGCUUUCGGGUCGUAAAGUUCUGUUGUUAGGGAAGAACAAGUACCGGAGUAACUGCCGGUACCUUGACGGUACCUAACCAGAAAGCCACGGCUAACUACGUGCCAGCAGCCGCGGUAAUACGUAGGUGGCAAGCGUUGUCCGGAAUUAUUGGGCGUAAAGCGCGCGCAGGCGGUCCUUUAAGUCUGAUGUGAGGCCCACGGCUCAACCGUGGAGGGUCAUUGGAAACUGGGGGACUUGAGUGCAGAAGAGGAGAGUGGAAUUCCACGUGUAGCGGUGAAAUGCGUAGAGAUGUGGAGGAACACCAGUGGCGAAGGCGACUCUCUGGUCUGUAACUGACGCUGAGGCGCGAAAGCGUGGGGAGCGAACAGGGAUUAGAUAC
This 453-nucleotide ribosomal RNA is filed under the name uncultured bacterium. RNAcentral's name for it is "bacterial SSU rRNA". It matches the Rfam family "Bacterial small subunit ribosomal RNA", at positions 340 to 785 of the family's 1533-position model. The record is from RNAcentral.